Molecule: ribosomal RNA, 630 nt
Filed under: Triticum aestivum (bread wheat)
Lineage: Eukaryota; Viridiplantae; Streptophyta; Magnoliopsida; Poales; Poaceae
Description: partial small subunit ribosomal RNA
Source: RNAcentral
CUUAGUGGAUGCCAUUAUAGAUGGAUUUGGAAAGUGAAAACACCACUCAAAAUCAAGAUUUUUCUUUGGCAGUUGUCCUAGGAUGUAGUGCUCACUAGGCAAGUCAUGAGAACGAGGAAAUGGCCUGGGAAUCCCACAUGCUCCUUUUCAAAUGAGUUGGAAACGUCCCAACAUCUGUUGUUCACCUGUCCUGUGGACAGGGUGGUCUGGAGAUGCGUUGGGGUGGUGCUGGGCACGGAGAUGUGCCCAAAUAGCUACUGGCAAUAUUUUGCUUGGUGUCAUGAUUUUUCCCCUACAAGACAAAAGUAUUAUACUGUGGGCCUGGCUGCUACUUGCUGGGCCAUUUGGCUAGCUCAAAAUCGUGCUACAUUCGAAAUGAAGGUAAUCAAAAGGCCCUUUGAGAUAGUUUUCUCCAUGUGUUCUUUUCUGUUGUAUUGGGUAGGGCUACAGCAAGAGGACACUACUAGGGAAAAGCCUAGCAGCAGCAAGGGUUUUAGGCCUAUCAGUAGCGCGGGCUGGAGCGCUACUAGUACGGCGCUACAGCUAAACGUUACCAGUAGCGUGCCUCAACCCACGCUACUGCUAAAUCGACUUAGUAGUAGCGAUUUCCCGGAGGAGCGCUACUGGUAA